This 497-nucleotide ribosomal RNA is filed under the name uncultured bacterium. Its description in RNAcentral is "partial 16S ribosomal RNA". It matches the Rfam family "Bacterial small subunit ribosomal RNA", at positions 28 to 507 of the family's 1533-position model. The record is from RNAcentral.
GACGAACGCUGGCGGCGUGCCUAAUACAUGCAAGUAGAGCGCUGAAGAGAGGAGCUUGCUCUUCUUGGAUGAGUUGCGAACGGGUGAGUAACGCGUAGGUAACCUGCCUGGUAGCGGGGGAUAACUAUUGGAAACGAUAGCUAAUACCGCAUAAAAUGGAUUAUCGCAUGAUAUUCCAUUGAAAGGUGCAAAUGCAUCACUACCAGAUGGACCUGCGUUGUAUUAGCUAGUUGGUGGGGUAACGGCUCACCAAGGCGACGAUACAUAGCCGACCUGAGAGGGUGAUCGGCCACACUGGGACUGAGACACGGCCCAGACUCCUACGGGAGGCAGCAGUAGGGAAUCUUCGGCAAUGGACGGAAGUCUGACCGAGCAACGCCGCGUGAGUGAAGAAGGUUUUCGGAUCGUAAAGCUCUGUUGUAAGAGAAGAACGAGUGUGAGAGUGGAAAGUUCACACAGUGACGGUAUCUUACCAGAAAGGGACGGCUAACUACGUG